GACCUCGGAUCAGGUAGGAAUA
Molecule: ribosomal RNA, 22 nt
Filed under: Fonsecaea pedrosoi
Lineage: Eukaryota; Fungi; Ascomycota; Eurotiomycetes; Chaetothyriales; Herpotrichiellaceae
Also listed under: 1 other name
Description: partial 28S ribosomal RNA
Source: RNAcentral